GUUGCUCUUCCCUUCCUUGUUGCCUUUCCCUGCCAAUGUGGCUGAGGCUGCGGGGCUCCUGGGGCCUCUCCUCCCAGACUUUCAGGGACAGGCUCUGGAUGUGGUCAGGGAUCCCUAGGCUGGAGGGCAGGAGACUUCCGUUGCUGUCCCUUAUUCCUGCCAACCAGGCUGUCGGUGGUAGCCGAGCACUGCCCCAGCCUGACCAGGUUGCCUGGCAGUGUGGGCUCUGGCUGGGCAGUUUCCGGCUCCAGCUGUCCUUACCAGAAAAACGGGACACAGGUUUGAUCCCUGAUCCGGGCAGAUCCCACAUGCAGAACAACUAAGCCCGUGUACCACAACUAUGGAACCUGCACUCUAGUGCCUACAAGCCGCAGCUACUGAUCCCACGCACCUCAAGCACUGAAGCCUGCACCCCAGAUCCCUGUUCCACAACAAGAGAGGCCACAGCACCGCAGCUAGAGAGCAGCUCCUGCUCGCUGAAACUAGAUAAAGUCAGGGCAGCAGUAAAGACCCAGCUCAGCCAAAAAUAAGACCCGGACUGAUGGAGCUGUCACCUC
Molecule: long non-coding RNA, 557 nt
Organism: Bos taurus (domestic cattle)
Lineage: Eukaryota; Metazoa; Chordata; Mammalia; Artiodactyla; Bovidae
Source: Ensembl